Molecule: long non-coding RNA, 2091 nt
Filed under: Mus musculus (house mouse)
Lineage: Eukaryota; Metazoa; Chordata; Mammalia; Rodentia; Muridae
Description: predicted gene 43445
Source: RNAcentral
AGCUGGGAUUCUGCCUCCUCUCCUCCCAAGAUUUCAGAUAAAGCCGAGGCCUUGCUGCAGCGAAUCUGCACAAUUAAAAGCUUUAAUUAGUGGCUCCUCCAUUUUCUUAGUUCUGAUGGGCUUUAUCUAAUGAGAUCUGGUCUCUGGCUUAGAUCUACUCCGAAUGACGUGUCCGCAAUGAAUGAGAGCUUCGUCGCAAACAAAACAUUUAAUUAACAAAAUUGGCCUCUAAGAGAGGGAGGGAAAGGCUGGAAGCGGGGUGUAGAGAGGAGGGGGAGGGUGGAUCUUAAAGGGACCCACGUCUGCCUGACCCCUCCACCUCCCCGAAGUCGAGGAACCCGAGGAACCGUACUACUGCCCCCUCCCUCCCGCGGCUCCCGACCCCUCGGCUCCACCCAAGAGCCAUCGAGGAGCUACGCAAACUCGGGUUCUUUUCCCCCCAACACGCUUUUCUGUACCCCUACUUCGGGCCGGGUGACUGGCGCGGAAAGUGCGGCCAGAGGAGGAAGUUCGGACGCCGUCGGGUGGGGCUCCGGUCAGAGCAGGCGAGCGGGUGGGUGGCGGGCCAGGUCCACGGUGCGGGGCCGCGAGGGGGCGAGCGCAGGGCAGGAGCCGGCGCGGUGGCGCUGGUGUCCCCGACUCUGCUCCGGCGGUUCACGUGGCGCCCGCAGCCGCAGUGAGCUGAGCUCGGGGCCGGGGCAAGGGGUUUGAAGGUGGCCGGAGGUGGAGGGUGUGUUUGGGGAGGGGAUUCGCGUUAGGCAAGGAGAAGCCGCCAAGCAGAGAGUUCAUUUCCCUGGUAAUCAACAGCAAGCUGCUAUAUUCAGAGAAUGCUGUCCCUUUAAUUGAACAGGCUAGGUAAUUAAAUGGCACUUUUCCAAUAGGACGUGCUAGGUAAAUCUAAUAGUUGGUUAUUUAAUAUCACUUUGAAGUCUGCCCACUCAAGCACAAUGACAGCACACGAGCAUGUGAACUAUUAGCUAGGAAAAAAAAAACCCAGGAUCUCAAAAAUUAAUUAAAUCGCAUGCAAUUUAGGGGGAACGUUUAUCUUGAUUUGUCAUAACAGAAUUAAUUCAAGGCCUCCAAUUCACUUGGGGGCAGAUCUGUUACUCUGAAUUAACCAAGCGUAAUUUGGCUGAUUUUUUUUUUUUUUCUUCCUCCCCUCUCUAAUGCAGUGGUUGCGAUUAUGCACCCCCCCCCUAGGUAUAAAUAGCUUAUGGUGCUUUUAAGGUGCUUGGGCUCUAGUUAUUCCGAAGUACCUUUAAUGGACUUGGCUCCAGGCAUAAUUUCUGGGUUGCAUUUCUUUGUUACAUUUAAUAUAGCUGGUGCAGAAUUUAGAUUAAAUAUAGGAUCCUGCUGGAAAACCAAUUGCUUCUAGAUCAGUAGCCGUGGUUGUACAUUUUUCUCCUCAGAUAGGUUGCUGAUAUUUACUCGCAGGUACAAAUGUGUACCUUUCAGCCACACUCGGGGAAAUGUACCUCUCCAGUGCCUGAAAGCAGUUUAGAAAACACAGCCAGGUAGCGCUCCGUAUUGCGUGUAUUUUGCUUGAAGUAAUAAUGCGGUUGAAAAAUAAGCCCACCUAUUGGCCAUCGGAGUUACUGAAAGAUGCUAAACAUUGAUGUUAAACUUAAAAAAAAAAUACAAUUUGUUUCUCCAUUUCUCAUGUCAGCAAGGAGAUUUGGAACUGAGCCUGCAGACAGGGCUCCCCACUACCUCGUUGUCCUUAGAUAGGAGCAAGACACCUUAAAAGUGGGAUUUCUCUCCAUCCUUUCCCUUUCCCCGCGUAAAGAACCUCUUGAUGUUUGUGAUUGAUUGCAUUGCCCAAAUGCUGAAAUAUUAACGACCUUCUUGGACUGAGGACCCAAAGAAAGGAAACUGAAACCAAUUCUGUCAUCACAAUUAAAGACUCCCCUGGCUUUAAUUAGCCUGACCUGGGGUAUAUCUCCCGGUUGCUUGAGUUAAAGAGAAAAGAGCCCAUUAUAGUCCAGUCUGAGACCGAUAGCUACUUAAUUGAGCACCUAAAGCCUCCAGCCUUUUAAAUCAAACACUGUCCUGGACAGUCCCCCUGGUUAGAUAAUUAACUCUCCAACGCAC